UCUCUUAACCUUGGAAAUCCCCCUUUUUUCCCUAAAACUCGCAUAUCUUGUGUCCAUCUUAUAGGGGAUUCGAAUUUUGAAAUCCAAAAAUGUAGGUAUCCCCCAAAUCUCAGAAUUCAUCGGCGACCAUCUCUUUUUCUCUCCUAAUUCACCAUAUCGCCUCCUACCCUUACAUCUAUGCUUUUUCCAAUUGUUAACAACCCCAUGGUUUUUAAGUGAAGUCGCUAACGAGUGGACUUUCUGAAGACAUACGAUGCUCGAUAGGGUUUUACGGGUGGGAGGAGAAGCGGUGAAAGCUUUAGCUUAAAGUUGUACCAGACACCCAAUUUAGCAAGCAUCUUUUUCUUAGAUAAGGAAGAUGUCAAUUAAUUUUGUAGAAGUUAAUGUGCUUCAGCAGUUUCUCCAUCAAAAUAUGAGAUUAAUGAGGGAAAGAAAGACUAUUUUGGUUUGUUGUGAUCUAAUUUGUGCUAAUGUGCUGCAUGAAAAGAAAAAUGAUUUUCUUGCUGGAGGAUCAAACCUAAAGUAAUGAUAUAUGCAGAUUGAGAUGCUAAAAGUUGGUUAAAAGGGAAGAGUAUGGAGAAUUAUAUAUGCAUACUUGGUCUUCGUUCAAGCUUUAUCAUGUUUGAGAGGAAUAAGGGGUAUUUUUAGGAAUUUAAGUCAUGAUCCUACUUAUGUUACGAAAUUGGUGUAAGAAAAUUUGUACUAAAAUUGUUAGAUCUUAUGGUUGGAAUUUAAGUCAUAAUCCUACUUUUGUUACUAAAA
Non-coding RNA from Lactuca sativa (garden lettuce), 762 nucleotides. The record is from RefSeq and is a predicted model, not a curated record. NCBI's taxonomy places the organism in Eukaryota, Viridiplantae, Streptophyta, Magnoliopsida, Asterales, Asteraceae.